RNAcentral lists this long non-coding RNA (377 nucleotides) under Mytilus galloprovincialis (Mediterranean mussel). The record is from RNAcentral. Lineage: Eukaryota; Metazoa; Mollusca; Bivalvia; Mytilida; Mytilidae.
GUCGGUAUGUUAAAAAUAUGCUAAUAUGAAAACUGUUGCUAUGGUCUUGGUAUUAAAUGAAAAGGCUUAGUUACAGAUCGUUACGACUCAAUAUUUCGAGUUAAAUCUUGCGGCAACUGUUUCUCAUGUAACACUGCAAACUAUAUUUAGCACUACUUUGAUCUGUCGUUAUUUAAUGACGCCAUUAUACAUGUGAUGUCACAAUGUUUCCGUUAAGACCUCUUGUGGAUUUCUCACUGAUAAAAGGUUUUCACUGAAAUACAUGUAAAAAACAUUUUUUUCUCAAAUAGAAUUAUGUGAAAGGACAAGUUUUGAAAAUUUGCACUAUAUUGUACUCUAAUUAUAUGAUAUGGAUGAUUUCCAAGUAGUUUAGAGUG